GAUGAACGCUGGCGGCGUGCCUAAUACAUGCAAGUCGAGCGAACGGACGAGAAGCUUGCUUCUCUGAUGUUAGCGGAGGACGGGUGAGUAACACGUGGAUAACCUACCUAUAAGACUGGGAUAACUUCGGGAAACCGUAGCUAAUACCGGAUAAUAUUUUGAACCGCAUGGUUCAAAAGUGAAAGACGGUCUUGCUGGCACGUAUAGAUGGAUCCGCGCUGCAUUAGCUAGUAGGUAAGGUAACGGCUUACCAAGGCAACUAUGCAUAGCCGACCUGAGAGGCUGAUCGGCCACCCUGGAACUUGGACGCGGUCCAGACUCCUACGGGAGGCCGCAGUAGGGUAUCUUCCGCAAUGGUCGAGAGCCUUACGGAGCAACGCCGCGUGAGUUAUGAAGGUCUUCGGAUCGUAAAACUCUGUUAUUAGGUAAGAACAUAUGUGUAAGUAACUGUGCACAUCUUGACGGUACCUAAUCAGAAAGCCACGGCUAACUACGUG
RNAcentral lists this ribosomal RNA (497 nucleotides) under uncultured bacterium. Its description in RNAcentral is "partial 16S ribosomal RNA". It matches the Rfam family "Bacterial small subunit ribosomal RNA", at positions 28 to 507 of the family's 1533-position model. The record is from RNAcentral.